CAGAUGAGAAGCUUGCUUCUCUGAUGUUAGCGGCGGACGGGUGAGUAACACGUGGGUAACCUACCUAUAAGACUGGGAUAACUCCGGGAAACCGGGGCUAAUACCGGAUAAUAUUUUGAACCGCAUGGUUCAAUAGUGAAAGACGGUUUCGGCUGUCACUUAUAGAUGGACCCGCGCCGUAUUAGCUAGUUGGUAAGGUAACGGCUUACCAAGGCGACGAUACGUAGCCGACCUGAGAGGGUGAUCGGCCACACUGGAACUGAGACACGGUCCAGACUCCUACGGGAGGCAGCAGUAGGGAAUCUUCCGCAAUGGGCGAAAGCCUGACGGAGCAACGCCGCGUGAGUGAUGAAGGUCUUCGGAUCGUAAAACUCUGUUGUUAGGGAAGAACAAAUUUGUUAGUAACUGAACAAGUCUUGACGGUACCUAACCAGAAAGCCACGGCUAACUACGUGCCAGCAGCCGCGGUAAUACGUAGGUGGCAAGCGUUAUCCGGAAUUAUUGGGCGUAAAGCGCGCGUAGGCGGUUUCUUAAGUCUGAUGUGAAAGCCCACGGCUCAACCGUGGAGGGUCAUUGGAAACUGGGAAACUUGAGUGCAGAAGAGGAGAGUGGAAUUCCAUGUGUAGCGGUGAAAUGCGCAGAGAUAUGGAGGAACACCAGUGGCGAAGGCGGCUCUCUGGUCUGUAACUGACGCUGAUGUGCGAAAGCGUGGGGAUCAAACAGGAUUAGAUACCCUGGUAGUCCACGCCGUAAACGAUGAGUGCUAAGUGUUAGGGGGUUUCCGCCCCUUAGUGCUGCAGCUAACGCAUUAAGCACUCCGCCUGGGGAGUACGACCGCAAGGUUGAAACUCAAAGGAAUUGACGGGGACCCGCACAAGCGGUGGAGCAUGUGGUUUAAUUCGAAGCAACGCGAAGAACCUUACCAAAUCUUGACAUCCUUUGACCGCUCUAGAGAUAGAGUCUUCCCCUUCGGGGGACAAAGUGACAGGUGGUGCAUGGUUGUCGUCAGCUCGUGUCGUGAGAUGUUGGGUUAAGUCCCGCAACGAGCGCAACCCUUAAGCUUAGUUGCCAUCAUUAAGUUGGGCACUCUAGGUUGACUGCCGGUGACAAACCGGAGGAAGGUGGGGAUGACGUCAAAUCAUCAUGCCCCUUAUGAUUUGGGCUACACACGUGCUACAAUGGAUAAUACAAAGGGCAGCGAAUCCGCGAGGCCAAGCAAAUCCCAUAAAAUUAUUCUCAGUUCGGAUUGUAGUCUGCAACUCGACUACAUGAAGCUGGAAUCGCUAGUAAUCGUAGAUCAGCAUGCUACGGUGAAUACGUUCCCGGGUCUUGUACACACCGCCCGUCACACCACGAGAGUUUGUAACACCCGAAGCCCGGUGGAGUAACC
Molecule: ribosomal RNA, 1390 nt
Filed under: Mammaliicoccus sciuri
Lineage: Bacteria; Bacillati; Bacillota; Bacilli; Caryophanales; Staphylococcaceae
Description: bacterial SSU rRNA
Rfam family: Bacterial small subunit ribosomal RNA
Source: RNAcentral